AUGGCCAUGGCAACCACCUCCUCCCGACUCACCACCACCCAGUACUCCUUCCUCUCCUCCACGCCAUGCUCGCCCACCACCAUGGCGGCGCUCCCGCGGCGGCGGAGAGCCGGCGCGCGGUACCCACGUAUCCAGGCCAUCGAGUUCGACCAGAACACGGUUGUGGCCAUAACUGUCGGCGUCGUCAGCGUCGCCGCGGGGAUCGGCAUCCCGAUUUUCUACGAGAAUCAAAUUGACAAUUCCGCAAAGAGAGACAACAACCAGCCGUGCUUCCCCUGCAGCGGCUCCGGCGCGCAGGUAUGCAGGUUUUGCACGGGAGCAGGGACUGUUACUGUAGUAAUCGGCAAUGGUGAAUCUGAAGUAUCGAAGUGUGUCAACUGCGAUGGCAUUGGCUCAUUGACAUGCACCACGUGCCAAGGUAGUGGCAUUCAGCCACGCUAUCUUGAUCGCAGGGAGUUCAAGGAUGAUGAUGACUGA
RNAcentral lists this ribosomal RNA (477 nucleotides) under Triticum aestivum (bread wheat). RNAcentral's name for it is "partial small subunit ribosomal RNA". Lineage: Eukaryota; Viridiplantae; Streptophyta; Magnoliopsida; Poales; Poaceae. The record is from RNAcentral.